RNAcentral lists this ribosomal RNA (266 nucleotides) under uncultured archaeon. RNAcentral's name for it is "partial 16S ribosomal RNA". It matches the Rfam family "Archaeal small subunit ribosomal RNA", at positions 719 to 982 of the family's 1478-position model. The record is from RNAcentral.
AGACGUCUACAUUAGAUACCCCCGGUAGUCCCAGCCGUAAACUAUGCGCGUUAGGUGUAUCGGUGACCACGAGUUACCGAGGUGCCGAAGGGAAACCGUGAAACGUGCCGCCUGGGAAGUACGGUCGCAAGGCUGAAACUUAAAGGAAUUGGCGGGGGAGCACCACAACAGGUGGAGCCUGCGGUUUAAUUGGACUCAACGCCGGGAAGCUCACCGGAUAGGACAGCAGAAUGAUUGCCGGGCUGAAGACUCUGCAUGACUAGCUG